This 500-nucleotide ribosomal RNA is filed under the name uncultured bacterium. Its description in RNAcentral is "partial 16S ribosomal RNA". It matches the Rfam family "Bacterial small subunit ribosomal RNA", at positions 30 to 523 of the family's 1533-position model. The record is from RNAcentral.
AUUGAACGCUGGCGGCAUGCCUUACACAUGCAAGUCGAACGGCAGCACGGGAGCAAUCCUGGUGGCGAGUGGCGAACGGGUGAGUAAAGUAUCGGAACGUGCCCAGUCGUGGGGGAUAACGUAGCGAAAGUUACGCUAAUACCGCAUACGAUCUAUGGAUGAAAGCGGGGGAUCGCAAGACCUCGUGCGAUUGGAGCGGCCGAUAUCAGAUUAGGUAGUUGGUGGGGUAAAGGCUCACCAAGCCGACGAUCUGUAGCUGGUCUGAGGGGACGACCAGCCACACUGGGACUGAGACACGGCCCAGACUCCUACGGGAGGCAGCAGUGGGGAAUUUUGGACAAUGGGCGAAAGCCUGAUCCAGCCAUGCCGCGUGCAGGAUGAAGGCCUUCGGGUUGUAAACUGCUUUUGUACGGAACGAAAAGGUUUGGCCUAAUAAGCUGAGCUCAUGACGGUACCGUAAGAAUAAGCACCGGCUAACUACGUGCCAGCCGCCGCAGUAA